UCUGUGUGUGACGCUCUCCUGGACUCUGUCCCAUGUUCCUCUUUUGGCUGAUUUUAUUCUGCAUCUUUUCAAUAAACCAUAAGCAUGAACAUAACAUCUCUCAGUGGAUCCUGUUAGUCCUUUUAGUGCAUUAUCAAACCUGAGGAUGGUCUUGAGGACUCUAAAACUUGCAGUUGGUGUCAGAAAUGAAGACGGUCUUAGAAUCGCUGAACUUGGUGAAACUUCUCCUUGACCGCUAGCAGGAUCUGAGAUCCCCUCCUUUGUUGAUCUGAUGUUUCUCCUAUCAGACAAAAGCCCCGCCUCACAAAAUAGGAGAAAAUGAUCAUGUAUGUCUCUUCCAGUCACCUCUACUGUCAGCCUCUUAUACCAGAUAUCAGGAAUGAGGAUCUGUGCAUCUUCCCCCACACUCAUUCCCAUUCUGGGUUGGAUGAUCUCCUUAACCCCCUCAAGUUCCUUACCUAGAUUCUUGGAAGGAUCUAGGAUUCCUCUCUCUGCUGAUUUGAGGCUGACCCCCAGACCAAGUCCAAGCUUAACAAAGGCCCCGAGCAAGAAGUGAGGAGAGGGUUCAGUAGGAUAGCACUGCUUAGGGCCUCCCAUGGUUGAUAGCAGGAAUCAGGCUCUGUGAGAUCCCCUCUGUACUGGAGUGGGUUGUCCCUUUCAUUCCCAUUUAGCAUCCUCACCUUGCCUCCUGGCAGAGAAUGAGUUCUUUCCCAUCUGCUGACCUGAACACCUCUACCCCUUUAACCAAGGCUGAACCUCCCUAAGGCCUCUGCAAGGAAGUUAAAACACACACACACACACACACACACACACACACUUCAUUCUGCUGCUCUUGCCAGGGACCUUCCGGACCUGACAGCAGGGGUGGUAUUCUCUGACAGCCUCACUGUUCUGGAACAAGUGGUCUCUGAGGCUUCAGUUCGACUCCUAGAAUAGAAUGGGCUUCCUCUUCUCUGCUGACCAGAGGCCUGCCCCCCCAGACUUUAGCUCUCACCUCCAGGAGACCUCUGAGAAGGAAGGUGGGGAGUUUGAUCCUGACAGACCUGCCUGGGACUUUGCAGAGAUGGUAGCAGGGGCCAAAAAGACUCUAAAGGGUCUGCUAUAUCUAGUAUUAGUAUGGGCAUUGUCCUUAUGCUGGGGUCACCCCCUUAGCUACCAUCACAGCCAAGGAUCCUUUGCUGGUCUGAGGCCUCCCCAUAUUAAACCAAGGUCCUUAUCUCUAAGUCACCUGAGAAAGAGCAAAGGAGCACCACUGGAUUCAGUUGGCCAUCCUUCCCUGGGAUUCUCUAGAGCUGACAGCAGGGGUGGGUGUGAUGAGGCUUUCUAAGACUUCAUCCGUUUUAGAGGUAAAAAAAUUUCCUGCAGAAAUUAAUUCUGCUCCUUCUCUAUAAUGCAAAUGCCUCUCCUUAAGUUUCUUAUUCUUUCCCUUCCUCUAUAGGAUAUAUAUGACUUUUUCAUAUAUACUUUAAUUGACUUCUGGGCCUGCUAUUCUUUUUCAUUAAUCAAUUUGGCAAUUCCUAUGCCAGAAUCAUACUCCUUAAUUGCUGCAUUAAGUUUACUAUCACCCAGGGAAAUUUCAAGCUUAUUAUUUUCUUUUCUUCAGUACUGUCUUGGUUAUGUAGCUAUUAUAUAGCUAUGCAUAUGCAUAAAUUAUCUUUAAGGUCAAUUAUAAAAUUUAAAACAUUUCUUAUAUCUCAUGCAGAUUUUAUUAGGGUAUAAUAUAUCUACAUGUUCAUAUUUUUCUUGGCCUUCAAUAAAGUUUUGCAUGUUCUUUUGUUUAAUGGAACCCUUCUCAUGAGUUUUUUGUUACACAUAAUUUAUAAUUGUUGUUUUAAAUGCAUUCUUUUUUUUUUACUAUUUUACAUUUUGUGAUUGAACACAUAUUAAAAAACAUAGAAUUCUGUAUAUUUAUUUGACAUAAUUCCAAUUCAGUAAGUGCUGUUUUUUUAACUAGUGAUAUUUUUCUAUUGAUUUAACUACAUUUUACUUCUUUUAGGGAACAAUCAACUUUUUGGAGCAUCAUGAUUAAAUUUUUCUCUUCCUAUAUUUUUGCCAAUUUUAAAAAUAAAAUUUAUAUAUUUGAAGUGCACUACAUGAUGACUUGAUAUGCAUAUACAUAGUGACGUAAUUACUACAGUCAAGCUAAUUAACAUAUCAUAUCCUCACAGGGUUACCAUUUAUUUUGUUUCACCAUCUUAUAUACUGUUUCUCGUUUAUAUGCUUAUCAAGUUAAGGAUGUACAUCUUUUGUUCACAGUUUAUCGAGAGGAGAGGUUUCAUUAAGAUGAAAUGUUAAAUUUUUGUAAUGUCUUUUUUUCAUUGAUCCAAGUGGUAUUUUUCCUCGGAAGGUCAUUCCUGUUGCAAAUAAGGUAAUAAAACUCAAACCGUGUAGGAAGUGACGAAUGAUUGGGGGAUAAUUCUCCAUGGAUUUUGUGUUUCUGCACAUAAGAGCAAACGGCAUAGACAUCUUUUUAUCAAAGAUGUUUGCAGAGCUGCUCCCAUUUAGGGAUCAUAUUUUUUUACAUUCUGGGUUAAUAAUGGCUUGCUCUUCUUCCCAGAAACUUUCCAGGAAGAUAAAGUUAAUGUCUCUUCUGGGUCAGAGGGCAGAUUUAUCUCUUAAUCAAGAUAAUAAUGAUAAUGUCUUUCUCCAGGGCAUAGAUUGGGGAAUUGCUAGCAGUCUCCUUAUAAGAUUGGGGGAUUCCUAAAUUCAUAUUUUCUUAGCUGUGACACACACACCAGGUGAGACUUGGGAACCAAGAGGGAGGCUGGGUAAGUGUGCAGCUCUUGCUCAUGCUGCCUGCUAUGUAAUGAACCACUUAAAUUCUUUGGAGCUUAUUGUCUCCUUAGUAGCUAAUCUAAAAAAGUGUAGUUAAGGAAGCCUGGCAGGUACAAUAGUCAUCACUGUUGCUUAGGAACUGCUUGACCACUUGACCCAAACAUUUAAAAAUCUUAGAAGUUGGAAGUGAAUAGCAGCUUUGUAGAAACUGUCACUGAUUGAUUAUUUAAGAAAGGUAGUAAAGAAUUAUGUGAAAGUCAGAGAUCAGUAACUCUUGUUUUUUUUUGCAAAAUGAGAUAAAUUACUGAGGCAUGAUGAAUAUAUUUAGUAAUAAAAGCAAUCUUUGAAACUGCAGUAUAUCAGAGAAAGGAACAAAACUAGCUCAUCAGCAACUGCAUAUAAGAUGCAAAAGUGGUGGAUAUGGUUGGGGUGUACGGGCCAGAGGAGAGGGUUCAGUUUGUGUUGUGGUACUACUCUUGGUUAACAUAUUAUCCAGGUUUGCUAUGUAAGAAACUUCAAACAUAUAAAACUGGCCACACUCUAAGCCCAACUUAGUUUCCAGGUAGAGAAAGAUUUCCAAAGAUUGGAAGAUAAUCUUCCAGAGGGCAGUUGUAUCUACUCUCCCCUCCAUAGAAUUUUUUCAUAUUCACAGCCUUCUCUCAUUCUCUGAAAGUGGCUGACAUCAGAAAGGGAAGUUCAUUUCUUCCUUCUCUUAGUUCACAACCCUUAUAGAGUGAGUUUUGACCCAUGCUUUUCAUCUCCCAGUCCCAAAGGCAGGACCUGCAAGUCAGCUUCAGCAAUGGGAUAUAGGCAGAAGGGUGGAGAAGGGAUAAGGCUUACAAUCAAACAUCAGCAAGUAUGUUGAGGACAGUACUUACAUCAUGCUGGCAUCAUCUCACAAUUUUACAAGCUCAGAGUCAGCCUCAGAUAUCAUAGACAGUGAAUAACAUUAUCAGUGUAUAUGUCAUGGGGGUCCAAUAUCCCAAAAGUUAGCUGCAGGCCUGCCCUAGUGAGUGGAGCAGAGAAGACAAGAGUGCUAUAGGCAGCCCAAGGUCAACCUUAAGGAAGUCUCUGACUCCCAGCAGCCCUAAUUCUGAAUACUCAGUGGCCAACAUGCUGAAAUGGAGUAAGCUACUCAUGUGAAAGACAACAGGACACAUAGAUGUUCCCAUGUGGAUAAAGAACAGGUGAAGUUGUAGGAGCAGUUCUGCAGGGAGGAUGGCAUAAGAGAAAGAAGGGUUCAGAAAUAGAAAUGCAUUAUACACUUUACAGCCCAUGUCCUUUCCAGUGAAUGAACUUGAAAUAUCUGUGGAAAUUGGAAGAGGUGCAAGGAUUAUCUAAAUCCUCUGAGGGCAGCUCUUAAGGUUGGGGGCUUUGAUAAAAAACCAUGGGAUUUACUGAACAGGAUGGCCUUGAGUAAUCAAAUAUUCAAAGUGCCUUGCAGGGAGUCCCAUAACCCUGUUUAGUAAAAAUAAGAAGUAUAGUGUUUAUGUGGCUUUUUCUCUUUUGCUUUUUGUUUUGGCAUUAUUUUAAAGCAAUACAUAUUUAAUUGUGGAAAACUGAAAAAAAAACAUAAAUAAACUAUCUAAGCAAGUUGCUUGAUGAGGAGAGCAGAAAUAGUGCUCACUGUCUCUCUGAUAUUGCCUAUCCAUUCCACUGUUGCUAGAGAUUUGCAUUCCGUCAGUUUAUGAUAAUUAUAAAUAACGAUGCUAUGAUCACCCUCUACAUGUCCUUUCAUGGACAUGUAUACUAAUUUCUGUGGGAUAUAUACCAGGAGCUGAAUUGCUGAGUCAUAGAGUAUGCAUUUACGCAAGUUAUAUAAAUACAGGAAAAUGGUUUUCUUGAGUGGUUGUGCCAACUUCCACUCUCACCAGCAGUAUAAGAGCACUGUGAUUGCUCUACAUCCUUUCCAACACUAGGUAUUUUUCUUUUAUUUCAUUUUAGCAAUUCUGGUACUUGUGUAAAGGUAUUACUUUAUGGUUUUAUUUUAUAGUUUCCCUAACAAUUAAUGAAGAUUAAUAUCUUUUCAUAUGGCUUAUUUUCUAUGCUACUGUGUUAGAAUUUAAUGUCAAAUUCAGAAUGACCCUGGAUUCUGACUUGUAGAGUGAACCCUGGAACUGGCAUUAGACUACCAUAGACCCAGUAACUUGGCCACCUGAUGGGCUCAGAGACAAAUAGCUUAGAGUCUAAUGCUCUUCCCAUAUUAGUAUACAGGUUGCUUGGAAUGAUGAUACAAUUAAGGUGAUUUUAUUCUCCAAGUAUAGAAUCAGAAAGCUGAUUAGUCAUACCUCUCCUUAUAAUUCAUCCUUCUAUGAUUGAGGUACCCUGCCCUUUUCUGUGCCACCAAAACACCCGUUUUCCUUCACUUACUCUUGCACCAUACACACUGAAGUUUUACUGUUUAGGCAUCCUUUGUUGUCUGCUCUAUCCACUUGUUGUCUGAGGAUAAGGUCUCCUUCUACACUGGCCUCUUUAGCUCAAGGCUGAAAAUAUCCACUCCCAUUAAAAAAAAGAUAAAACAGAUACAACUUAGAAUAGAUUUACAAGGAGAUCCUGCUGAGUAGAACUAUGUCUAAAUACUCAUAUUGCAAUAGAACAAAGG
This 5377-nucleotide long non-coding RNA is filed under the name Sus scrofa (pig). RNAcentral's name for it is "lncRNA (ENSSSCG00030003342.1, ENSSSCG00050079062.1)". Lineage: Eukaryota; Metazoa; Chordata; Mammalia; Artiodactyla; Suidae. The record is from RNAcentral.